UGAGGAAUAUUGGUCAAUGGACGAGAGUCUGAACCAGCCAAGUAGCGUGAAGGAUGAAGGCUCUAUGGGUCGUAAACUUCUUUUGUAAGGGGAGAAUAAAUUCUACGUGUAGGAUGAUGACAGUACCUUACGAAUAAGCAUCGGCUAUCUCCGUGCCAGCAGCCGCGGUAAUACGGAGGAUGCGAGCGUUAUCCGGAUUUAUUGGGUGUAAAGGGCGUGUAGGCGGGACUGUAAGUCAGGCGUGAAAACCAUGGGCUCAACCCAUGGCCUGCGUUUGAAACUAUAGUUCUUGAGUGUCGGAGAGGUAAUCGGAAUUCCGUGUGUAGCGGUGAAAUGCGUAGAUAUACGGAGGAACACCAGUGGCGAAGGCGGAUUACUGGACGAUAACUGACGCUGAGGCGCGAAAGCGUGGGGAGCAAACA
This 422-nucleotide ribosomal RNA is filed under the name uncultured bacterium. Its description in RNAcentral is "bacterial SSU rRNA". It matches the Rfam family "Bacterial small subunit ribosomal RNA", at positions 355 to 774 of the family's 1533-position model. The record is from RNAcentral.